Molecule: non-coding RNA, 45 nt
Organism: Schistosoma rodhaini
Lineage: Eukaryota; Metazoa; Platyhelminthes; Trematoda; Strigeidida; Schistosomatidae
Source: Rfam
AUCCAACCGACGAGUCAAGGAUAGGACGAAACGCGCGUCCCGGAU